Molecule: ribosomal RNA, 440 nt
Filed under: uncultured bacterium
Lineage: Bacteria
Description: partial 16S ribosomal RNA
Rfam family: Bacterial small subunit ribosomal RNA
Source: RNAcentral
CCUACGGGAGGCAGCAGUGGGGAAUAUUGCACAAUGGGGGAAACCCUGAUGCAGCGACGCCGCGUGAGUGAAGAAGUAUUUCGGUAUGUAAAGCUCUAUCAGCAGGGAAGAAAAUGACGGUACCUGAUUAAGAAGCCCCUGCUAACUACGUGCCAGCAGCCGCGGUAAUACGUAGGGGGCAAGCGUUAUCCGGAUUUACUGGGUGUAAAGGGAGCGUAGCCGGGAGAACAAGUCUGGGGUGAAAUGCCGGGGCUUAACCCCAGAACUGCUUUGGAAACUGUGCAGCUGGAGUGCAGGAGAGGUGAGUGGAAUUCCUAGUGUAGCGGUGAAAUGCGUAGAUAUUAGGAAGAACACCAGUGGCGAAGGCGGCUUACUGGACUGUAACUGACGUUGAGGCUCGAAAGCGUGGGGAGCAAACAGGAUUAGAUACCCCUGUAGUC